This 378-nucleotide ribosomal RNA is filed under the name uncultured eukaryote. RNAcentral describes it as "partial 18S ribosomal RNA". It matches the Rfam family "Eukaryotic small subunit ribosomal RNA", at positions 592 to 976 of the family's 1831-position model. The record is from RNAcentral.
CAAUAGCGUAUAUUUAAGUUGUUGCAGUUAAAAAGCUCGUAGUUGGAUUUCGGGUGGGACGCAGCGGUCUCGCAUUGCGUUUGUACUGCUUCAGCCCUCCUUCUUGCCGGGGGCGGCCUCUCGGACUUCACUGUCUGGGGGUCAGAAUCGGCGAUGUUACUUUGAGUAAAUUAGAGUGUUCAAAGCAAGCUUACGCUCUGAAUAUAAUAGCAUGGGAUAACACGACAGGACUCUGGCCUAUCGUGUUGGUCUAUAGGACCAGAGUAAUGAUUAAGAGGGACAGUCGGGGGCAUUCGUAUUCCGUUGUCAGAGGUGAAAUUCUUGGAUUUACGGAAGACGAACAUCUGCGAAAGCAUUUGCCAAGGAUGUUUUCAUUGA